GUGAAAGCUUAAUCUUGUGAUCUGUUUUGCAACAAUGCUUUAUUUAUUUUUUCAUGUGUAUGGUAAAUCCUUGAUAAUUUGAUUCUGGUGUAUGCCUUUAUUAUUGCAUUUGAAUUGAUUUUUCCUUUUGUCAUGUUUUAUUUUUAUUGGUGCUCUAUCAUUUCAGAUCCAAAUUGAUGUCACUUACAGUUAUUUCUCUCUGAUUGUG
RNAcentral lists this unclassified non-coding RNA (208 nucleotides) under Hevea brasiliensis (rubber tree). Lineage: Eukaryota; Viridiplantae; Streptophyta; Magnoliopsida; Malpighiales; Euphorbiaceae. The record is from RNAcentral.